This 196-nucleotide unclassified non-coding RNA is filed under the name soil metagenome. RNAcentral's name for it is "partial internal transcribed spacer 1". The record is from RNAcentral.
UCGAGUUUUGAACGGGUUGUUUGCUGGCCUCAUACGGGGCAUGUGCACGCCUGACUUCAUCCACCUUCAACCUCUGUGCACUUAUUGUAGGCUAGCGUGAAAGGUCGCACUUCAUUUGCGGCUGGAAGCUGUCUACGUUUUACUACAAACGCUUCAGUUAUAGAAUUGUUUAUAUCUCGUAUAACGCAUUUAUAUA